GUGGGGAGCCACAGCCCCGUCCACCAGGGUAUGAAGCAGGUAUGGAGGAGAUCCAGGCCCCAGAUAUCAAUGUCUCCUUAUGUUAGAAAAUGUCAAAAUAGUGUACUGUAGUGUAUUGUAAAGUUUACUGUCGUAAAUGUGAUUUUAAGUUGACACAAAGAAAGCUGGAGAUGGUGGUUUCUAAUUGUUACUGUAGUACAACAGCAAAUCCAGGCAUACUUUGUUUUGUUGAUCGGACUUAUAACACAAGAUUGUCCCUUUCAGGGAAGAACAAAAUUAUAAAGAAAGUACUUGAGGGACAACAUGGAUGGACAAAAGUUAGAAAUGUAUGAUUUUAAAUUCACCUGUCCUUGGUUGGAUAAGGCACCUGUUUGUUUGUAAAGGUGUUUGAUGUGUCGGCAUCUUUUUAUUCAUGCAGAAUGCCAAAGAUAUGCAAGACUACUGAAGCAGAAAGACGUACCUAUUCCUCUGUUGAAUUCCAGCAGAAACUCAACAAUGAUCAUAAUAUUAUAUUGGUGUACUUUAUUAAGCAACAUACAGAGGAAUUGAGGCAUGUUUUGAGCUCUUUGCUAUUGAAUUUGUUAAGAAUCUUCCCAUGGUAACUAUUUGGCCAUACUUAUUCAAUUAAUAUAAAAUUAAAACACAUGCAUACAUGCGUACAGUUACCUCUAGGUCUGCAGCUACAUUACAUAUUAUAUCAGAACAAUAUAUAAGAAACUUUUAAUUUCAUGGCUUUAAUGUUUGCUUUUGUCACAAAGCCUGUUUCAUUCCAAAUGUUUAUAUCAUUCGACAUCUACAGCUCACAGCUUAUGUUUUGAUACACAAAUCCAUAAUUCAUUGAACUUUUCUGUCUGUGAGCCUGUGUGUGUGUGUGUGUGUGCGUGUGUGUGUGUGUGUGU
Long non-coding RNA from Haplochromis burtoni (Burton's mouthbrooder), 899 nucleotides. RefSeq lists it as uncharacterized. Lineage: Eukaryota; Metazoa; Chordata; Actinopteri; Cichliformes; Cichlidae. The transcript has 2 exons. The record is from RefSeq and is a predicted model, not a curated record.